CUUAUCUUCCCUAUUCAUAUUCUUAGUAUGUCUAUAUAUACCCGCACUCAACAUUUCCUUGGUUGUAUCUAUCUCUAGCUUCCAACGUUGAUAGGCAAUAUUUCUUUCUUUUCAAUGGAGAAGCUAGCUAAGUGAUAAUAUUCUAUCGAUCAUGGUAACUACCUUCAAAACAUGUUUUCAUUUUAUAUAUACAAAGAUAGAUUGAUCACUUUGCAUGUUCGAUUUGUUUAAUUAAAAGUAAAAGUUUUGUUAUAUUUUCUUGUUGUAAGUUCUUUGUGAUUAAAUUUGUUGAUGGGAAUAGGUGGUAUCGAAAAUAAGGUAAUAUAUAUCAUUUGGUCUAGGUUUUCAAAUAAGUUUCUUCGACUCUUUGUUAUAUAUCCCGAUCUAGGUUUAAUUAAUUACUGCAUCUAAGCUUUGUUGAUUAGAAAUUUUGAUCCACCCAUCAGUUCAAUUGACUGGAAAUGUGGUUCAUCUAUAACAUUCCAAUUUAUCAUAUCAUUUAUUAAAAUUCAAUAGUUUGCGGGGGAAAUAAUCUGAUCCUGAACAUAGUCUAAGGAAAUGGCGAGCCUUGGCGCACUUUUGAAGAGAACAAGAGUUUGAAAGUCCAUUAAUCAUAAUUCUGAACGGAACGUAGAAACUCAUUUGAAAUUAGACAUUUGAAAGUACUCCAAAAAUUAAAUAUGACAAACGAUCUACAUUGGAUCCUAUUGUAGAUCGGAAAGGAAGUUAUUCUUUCAUUAGUUUGUACUGGUAUUUUCGUUAAGGUUCGGAGAAAAGUAUGGUAUCUAAGCUUGUCGGUUAGCGAGAUUGUAUCAUAGCAAGAAAAUGAAGAAAUUUCUAGUAAACAUCCAUUAUUUGUUAUGUUUAUCAUAAUACCUUGUUGUACCAUAUUUUAGGAAUUUGCGGCAACAAAAUAUAACAACCUCAUUCCAGAUCUGGAAUUAUUUCAACAUAAGUAUUUUGAUUUUUUUUCUUCUUGUGCAGUUUAUGAACAACGGUGUUCAGUGUUGGAGGGACAGAGUUACUCGAUGGAAGUACUUGUUGCAUCCAGUUAUCAACCAAACUGGAUUACGUACAAUAUUAUUUAGGUAUGCUAUAAUUUGUUUUACGGUGUUCAAACAACUCAAUUAUACAGCUUUGAUAAAUGCGACUCAUUGCAACAUGAAUUGAAGUUUUUUGUACUUUCCUAAAUUUUGAAACAUACCUUCUUUGGGAAGAUAGGUCUCCAAUUGUUGCACACAAAAGAUACAAAAUCCCUGGGCAAAGAUACAACCUUGAUUGAUGUGCACAAGGAAUUCGGGAAACGUUGGCCAGAGAAUGCAAAAUGGAUAUUCCUUAUAGAACAGAGCAUUCAAUACAAAAAAUCUCUGGAACUCAAAUCGGCGAAAGUAUCUACCAAGGGAGAAAUCAGAAGACAAAGGUCGACAAACAACCAAAGUCAGUUUUGCUGGAAUACAUAAAGCUUGCGUGCACACUUGGGCAUGCUUGAUGGAUUGGGUGGUAUCGGGAAUUUUACUUGAUAAAUUGAUCAGUAUUGUUUUACGUUUUAUAAUUAAGAGCAUCUUCAAUCCUACAAUAUCUUUAUGGUGCAAAUGUAGGAUGUUUUUAUAGAAAAAAUAGCCAAAAAACUUAAAGUAAAAACAACAUCUUCAAUGUUUCAAUAGGGUUUCAUGAAGUCAGUAGGAACAAUGAGUGUCACGCAGAACUGUUAAUUUAAUAUCUCGCAGAACUACUUAAUGUCGCA
Molecule: long non-coding RNA, 1744 nt
Filed under: Aquilegia coerulea
Lineage: Eukaryota; Viridiplantae; Streptophyta; Magnoliopsida; Ranunculales; Ranunculaceae
Description: long non-coding RNA (ACOE_LNC001972)
Source: RNAcentral